Molecule: transfer RNA, 96 nt
Filed under: Euzebyaceae bacterium
Lineage: Bacteria; Bacillati; Actinomycetota; Nitriliruptoria; Euzebyales; Euzebyaceae
Also listed under: 1 other name
Description: tRNA-Sec
Rfam family: Selenocysteine transfer RNA
Source: RNAcentral
GGAGGCGUCUGGGUUCCUGGUGGGCCCCGCGGUCUUCAAAACCGUAGAGGCGGCCUCCGGUCGCCUGGCGGGUUCGAUUCCCGUCCGCCUCCGCCA